GGCACACUGGACUUUUAUUCAAAUUUCCCAACAAGGGUGACACCCAUGUGGACCUUGGUGGGCACAGGGACACAAAGUGAAAAAAAAAACCCAAUAAAAACCAGAGUCAUACAGUGAGACACUCCCAUACACAAACAAUAGAAUCCCUCCUCUGUAUCAGGAACUGUCCUAAUCUAACCCAAUUAUCUCCAAGCACAGAAAAACAUGAAACCCCAUAAAAGUUACAUCCCCUGAUAUCCAAAAAUCACCCAGAUCGGUUCAGGAAUUUGUGGAAGUCAGUUUUGACCAACCGUGCACAUGGUCCUAUGCCCAAGACUGUUCCAGGGAAAUCAGUGCUAAG
Pelobates cultripes (western spadefoot toad) is the source of this 340-nucleotide non-coding RNA. NCBI's taxonomy places the organism in Eukaryota, Metazoa, Chordata, Amphibia, Anura, Pelobatidae. The record is from the annotation of a GenBank genome assembly.